Molecule: transfer RNA, 75 nt
Filed under: Candidatus Woesearchaeota archaeon
Lineage: Archaea; Nanobdellati; Candidatus Woesearchaeota
Description: tRNA-Val
Rfam family: tRNA
About the family: Transfer RNA (tRNA) molecules are approximately 80 nucleotides in length. Their secondary structure includes four short double-helical elements and three loops (D, anti-codon, and T loops). Further hydrogen bonds mediate the characteristic L-shaped molecular structure. tRNAs have two regions of fundamental functional importance: the anti-codon, which is responsible for specific mRNA codon recognition, and the 3' end, to which the tRNAs corresponding amino acid is attached (by aminoacyl-tRNA synthetases). tRNAs cope with the degeneracy of the genetic code in two manners: having more than one tRNA (with a specific anti-codon) for a particular amino acid; and 'wobble' base-pairing, i.e. permitting non-standard base-pairing at the 3rd anti-codon position.
Source: RNAcentral
GGGCCUGUGGUCUAGUUCGGCUAUGACGUCGCCUUCACACGGCGGAGGUCUCCGGUUCAAAUCCGGACAGGCCCA